This 469-nucleotide ribosomal RNA is filed under the name uncultured bacterium. RNAcentral describes it as "partial 16S ribosomal RNA". It matches the Rfam family "Bacterial small subunit ribosomal RNA", at positions 28 to 507 of the family's 1533-position model. The record is from RNAcentral.
GACGAACGCUGGCGGCGUGCUUAACACAUGCAAGUCGAACGGAAAGGCCCUGCUUGCAGGGUGCUCGAGUGGCGAACGGGUGAGUAACACGUGGGUGAUCUGCCCCUUACUUUGGGAUAAGCCUGGGAAACUGGGUCUAAUACUGGAUAGGACCAUGCUGUAGGUGGUGUGGUGGAAAGAUUAGUUUCGGUAAGGGAUGAGCUCGCGGCCUAUCAGCUUGUUGGUGGGGUAAUGGCCUACCAAGGCGUCGACGGGUAGCCGGCCUGAGAGGGUGGACGGCCACAUUGGGACUGAGAUACGGCCCAGACCCCUACGGGAGGCAGCAGUGGGGAAUAUUGCACAAUGGGCGCAAGCCUGAUGCAGCGACGCCGCGUGGGGGAUGACGGCCUUCGGGUUGUAAACUCCUUUCAGCCAUGACGAAGCCCUUGUGGUGACGGUAGUGGUAGAAGAAGCACCGGCUAACUACGUG